RNAcentral lists this ribosomal RNA (253 nucleotides) under uncultured bacterium. RNAcentral's name for it is "partial 16S ribosomal RNA". It matches the Rfam family "Bacterial small subunit ribosomal RNA", at positions 524 to 776 of the family's 1533-position model. The record is from RNAcentral.
UACGGGGGGUGCGAGCGUUGUCCGGAAUCACUGGGCGUAAAGGGCGCGUAGGUGGUUUGAUAAGGGUGUGGUGAAAGUCCGGGGCUCAACCCCGGAUCUGCCGUGCCGACUGUCAAACUCGAGGACUGUAGAGGCAGACGGAAUUCCGGGUGUAGCGGUGGAAUGCGUAGAGAUCCGGAGGAAGACCGGUGGCGAAGGCGGUCUGCUGGGCAGUUUCUGACACCGAGGCGCGACAGCGUGGGGAGCAAACAGG